CCUACGGGUCGCACCAGUAGGGAAUCUUCCACAAUGGGCGAAAGCCUGAUGGAGCAACGCCGCGUGUGUGAUGAAGGCUUUCGGGUCGUAAAGCACUGUUGUAUGGGAAGAACAGCUAGAAUAGGGAAUGAUUUUAGUUUGACGGUACCAUACCAGAAAGGGACGGCUAAAUACGUGCCAGCAGCCGCGGUAAUACGUAUGUCCCGAGCGUUAUCCGGAUUUAUUGGGCGUAAAGCGAGCGCAGACGGUUGAUUAAGUCUGAUGUGAAAGCCCGGAGCUCAACUCCGGAAUGGCAUUGGAAACUGGUUAACUUGAGUGCAGUAGAGGUAAGUGGAACUCCAUGUGUAGCGGUGGAAUGCGUAGAUAUAUGGAAGAACACCAGUGGCGAAGGCGGCUUACUGGACUGUAACUGACGUUGAGGCUCGAAAGUGUGGGUAGCAAACAGGAUUAGAUACCCGAGUAGUC
Molecule: ribosomal RNA, 465 nt
Filed under: uncultured bacterium
Lineage: Bacteria
Description: bacterial SSU rRNA
Rfam family: Bacterial small subunit ribosomal RNA
Source: RNAcentral